Molecule: ribosomal RNA, 404 nt
Filed under: uncultured bacterium
Lineage: Bacteria
Description: partial 16S ribosomal RNA
Rfam family: Bacterial small subunit ribosomal RNA
Source: RNAcentral
AUUGAACGCUGGCGGCAGGCCUAACACAUGCAAGUCGGGCGAGCGGCGGACGGGUGAGUAAUGUAUGGGGAUCUGCCUGAUGGAGGGGGAUCACUACUGGAAACGGUAGCUAAUACCGCAUACCAUCAGCUGAACCCAUAUGGGAUUAGCUAGUAGGGGGGGUAAAGGCUCACCUAGGCGACGAUCUCUAGCUGGUCUGAGAGGAUGAACAGCCACAGUGGGACAGAGACACGGACCAGACUCCUACGGGAGGGAGCAGUGGGAAAGAUUGCAAAGUGCGCGCAAGCCUGAUGCAGCCGUGCCGCGUGUAUGGAGAAGGCCUUAGGGUUGUAAAGUUCUUUCAGCGGGGAGGUGUUACCCGCAGAAGAAGCACCGGCAAACUCCGUGACAGCCGCCGCUAAUAC